RNAcentral lists this ribosomal RNA (252 nucleotides) under uncultured bacterium. RNAcentral's name for it is "partial 16S ribosomal RNA". It matches the Rfam family "Bacterial small subunit ribosomal RNA", at positions 30 to 289 of the family's 1533-position model. The record is from RNAcentral.
UUGAACGCUGGCGGCAUGCCUUACACAUGCAAGUCGAACGGUAGAGGGGCAACCCUUGAGAGUGGCGAACGGGUGAGUAAUGCAUCGGAACGUGCCCAGUCGUGGGGGAUAACGCAGCGAAAGCUGUGCUAAUACCGCGUGUGAUCUGUGGAUGAAAGCAGGGGACCGCAAGGCCUUGUGCGAUUGGAGCGGCCGAUGUCAGAUUAGCUAGUUGGUAGGGUAAAAGCCUACCAAGGCGACGAUCUGUAGCUG